AGAACGAACGCUGGCGGCAGGCCUCAAACAUGCAAGUCUAGGGGGUGUAGCAAUACAUCACCGGCGGACGGGUGCGUAACACGUGGGAAUAUACCUUUUGGUUCGGAACAACGCAGGGAAACUUGCGCUAAUACCGAAUGUGCCCUUACGGGGAAAGAUUUAUCGCCAAAGGAUUAGCCCGCGUAGGAUUAGCUAGUUGGUGAGGUAAUGGCUCACCAAGGCUCCGAUCCUUAGCUGUUCUGAGAGGAAGAUCAGCCACACUGGGACUGAGACACGGCCCAGACUCCUACGGGAGGCAGCAGUUGGGAAUCUUGGACAAUGGGGGAAACCCUGAUCCAGCCAUGCCGCGUGAGUGAUGAAGGCCUUCGGGUUGUAAACUCUUUCGACGGGGACAGUAAUGACGGUACCCGUAGAAGAAGCUCCGGCUAACUUCGUGCCAGCAGCCGC
RNAcentral lists this ribosomal RNA (447 nucleotides) under uncultured bacterium. Its description in RNAcentral is "SSU rRNA". It matches the Rfam family "Bacterial small subunit ribosomal RNA", at positions 26 to 518 of the family's 1533-position model. The record is from RNAcentral.